This 278-nucleotide long non-coding RNA is filed under the name Gallus gallus (chicken). Lineage: Eukaryota; Metazoa; Chordata; Aves; Galliformes; Phasianidae. The record is from RNAcentral.
CAGGAAACUGCAUCUACCUACAUUACUGCAGAAGGUGAGAGAGGCAAUACUCCUUGAACUCUCUGUCACUAUUAAGUAGAAGAAGGGGCAGGAUCAUCCAUCCAUUUGGGAAGCCUGCUGUGUUUGGUAAUGAGAACUUAAACUGCAGAGGUGGGAGACCGGGCUAUGCUGAUGAUGCAACUUGAAUCAUUUUCUUCCUCUCAGUUGCUCUUGCUUCACUGAGAAUGGGCAAAAGCAGAGUUACCCAACUCUGGAUGAAAGGGUUAGUUUCAUUCUUG